This 2586-nucleotide long non-coding RNA is filed under the name Mus musculus (house mouse). Its description in RNAcentral is "predicted gene 5094". The record is from RNAcentral. Lineage: Eukaryota; Metazoa; Chordata; Mammalia; Rodentia; Muridae.
AUCCAGUAACAGAAACCAGAGAGGCAAGGCCUUGUACUGACAAUAGAACGUCGGGCCUUUAUUUUAUUUCUUUCAUUGGUUCUACUUUGUCUGAGCUGAGGAAAACUUUUAAAACCAAACAGCAAAUAUUAGAAUGGUCCCCAGGGAGACUAGAAUUGGUCUCUCUUGCGCUUGUCCUAAGCAGGAGCUGCUGCUUCUGAUUUCUCCAUGAGAAAUGAUUACCGCUUGUUUCAAAACACCCAUGCUGUGUUGAAUCCUGCACAGAAAACAUUUUGAUCUCGACACUUUCCUUCUCAUAACUGAAGCACACACUUUAAGAUGAGUAUUUUAUAUUCUUAGCUCCAAUUAACCUGAAGUGUUUCUCUUUCCGAUGUCUCCCCCCCCCAACCCCCACCCAGUUGACUAAGUCUGUCUUUCUACCCCUUUGUAAUAGAUUCCUCCGCAGGAGGGGAUGCAUGUUAUAAUUUGCUACAAUUAAUAGGAGUGGAAAGGGCAUGUUAUAGAUAAACUGCUUUACCUUCUGCCUGCUGUGUUUUCUACUUUUCAUUCCUUUUCCUCCACCUGCAAUGACUGGUUAUCUGAAAGAAGGGACAUGGGUAAGAGAAAAUAAAGCAACCAUUAGUCUCUCCUGUUUCACCCCUUCGUAGCCCCACCCAUCCGUCCAUAUGUGGCUUUCUCAUUCAUUCCAGUAAUAAUACCAAUUACUAUGCAGGCAGGCCAUUCUUAUUCACAUUUGCAGCUCGCUGUGGACAUUUAUGCUUCACUCUGAGCAACACUCACAUCUUCAACAACAUCGAUUAUACAGCUGUUGUACAGUCGUUGUAAAUGAAAUAUACAAUGCCCGGUUCAGCUCUUGGAAUCCUUUAUAGCGGUGGGAUGUGGGGCAGGAGAGCCCUUCCUUGCUCUGUUUCUCUCUGGUGCUGGCUUCCUUUUCUAACACCUGACACUUGCAGGUAAAGAGGCUAAGCAAGGAGGACAAGAUAGCCCAGAUCAGAGCAGUUCUCUUCUCUUCUCACAGAGGAAACAUUGGAAUGUAGGCUUGGUGGGCGAAUGGGUCUGUGAGAUCUCAGCACCAUGGGGAAUUUCUAGAACCUUGUCUCUGCCUUUCCCCUCUUCCCUGACUCUCUCUCUCUCUCUCUCUCUCUCUCUCUCUCUCUCUCUCUCUCUCUCUCCUCUCUUUUUCCCUCUCUCCACAUCAGGUUAUAUGUUUUGACUUAAAUGAAUGUGUUAUGCAUUGUAUUUAAUUUCUCCCAUGAUUUUUCUCACCUCAAUAUGCCUUCCCAGAGGGAUUAAGGCCUUGAAUCCUUCUGUCCCUGUUUUCUCUGGUUUGGUCUUCAAGCCCUCAAACUCAAAUGAGCAGGAUUGUCGUGCAUGUGACUUUUCAAACUUACCUAUUCACCCAUGAGUGCCAUAUACCAUCAUUGGAAACCAGAUUUUCCCAUUCUCUAGACAUAACAGUAAAUAUCUUAAGGAAGGCCCUAGAAAGGACACAGAUAACACAUCUGAGACUUGUAAAAAUACUAGGUGGUUUUCUUUAUAUAACUUGGAUUGUUCUCUUAGACUUUUUGUUGUUGUGGUUAUUGUUAUUUCAAUUUGCAAUGUUUUUUUUUUUCGUUGUUUCUUUUUUUGGGGGUUGUUUGUUUUGUUGUUGUUGUUUUUUGUUUUGCAAAGGCUCUAUUCAAUGCUAUUUAAUAUGAAUUCCUUUGUUCAUAUUUUAACAUCUAGGGAACCAGAAACUAUCUUACUAUUCAUGAAAUUUUGAGAAUCACUCUCAGCAAGAUGAGUGACUGAACAACAGGAGCCUUUUGAAUGACAAUGGUCCUUAGCAUUAUGGCUAAGUGGGGAACAAAUACCAGUCUUUCUGUUUGAAAUUUCUCCAGUGGCAUCUUCUGAUAUGCUCAGUACCUUAUAAUAUGAAAGUACCAGCAUGAGAAUUCUUUUUGCAAGCCUGAAACUUAGAAGAGAUGGGGGUCACUCAUCAAAGAAAUGAAACAUCUCACACCCUGAACUGUGUGUUGGAAACAGCUGAAAAGCAACUGAGGUUAUAGAGCUGGCCCUGUGGUCACGAGAACAGGAGACCUGUCAUUGGAUAAACUAGCCAAAGCAAUGGUAGAGAGCUUCCCUGGUGCUGUGGGUACAGGAAAACUGGCACAACUACUACCCAGGCCCAAAUCCAGGGCUUUGAGUUGAUUCACUCCAACAUCUGUCUCAUCUAUGAACCGCUGGAGAGUAUGAAGAGACUGGUCCUACAGAUCCAAAGCUACAGGAUCACCAUGAAACAGAGCAUCAGCAGGAUAUCUGAGAGGAAUCCCAGUGAAGAUCCAGUACUGAUAUAGUAUAAGAAGCCAGAGGCCUCGAUCCAGACCAAUGACUCAUUGCAACAUAUAUUUGCAUGUAAAGAAACAUAGACAAAGUGGAUAUUUUGGGACACACUAGCACAAAUUACAGUUUCCACAACAAGAUUUUUUUUUCCUUUGAAGGGAGGUUGCAAGGGUGGAGAGCAGAUGAGAAGGGACAGGGAAAUGAGUGGCAGUGGGGAGCAUGAGGUGAAAUCAAAACAGAAUCAAUAAAAAGUUAAAUAAAAGC